AUUGGGCUUGAAAUUUAUAAUCUCUGUUUUAUGAAUAGGUAGUAUUAAUUGACGAAUGUUUCGUUUUGUUAACUGUUGAGUGACUCACAUUACCUGUUGUCUUUCAUGUAUGAAAAUUAAUAUCAAGCCAUAUUCUUACAUUAUACUUCUCCUUCCUUUGCUCAGCUCACUUAAAUGAGCUGACGGUUAGUGUUUUUAUCAAUUGGCAAUUGCUAGUCAUCCUGUUUAUUACCUCUCUGGUGUUCUUUCUCUAGCUUCGACACAUCGAUGCUUGUUUAGUUCCUGUUAUGUACUGUAUGUAGUAUAAAAGAAAGACCAACAUGGUUCUAAAAUCUGUCUAUUUGUUGCAGGUCCUGACAACAUGAAGCACCUCGAAGAGGAUCGCCGAGGAGAUGCACAAGCAGGUGGCUGCUGCAUGCGCCAUCCAGCCCAAGGAGGAGAACGACUUGGAGUUUGGAUGUAUUAUGUAAAUUUGGGAGAUGUAUUAUGUGAACCAGUGAGAUGUAUUAUGUGAAUCUGGAAGAUGUAUUGUGUUAUGUAAACCUGAGAGAUGUAUUAUGUGAUGUUAUAUGAUGGAUG
This 579-nucleotide long non-coding RNA is filed under the name Hordeum vulgare. RNAcentral describes it as "long non-coding RNA (HVUL_LNC006516)". Lineage: Eukaryota; Viridiplantae; Streptophyta; Magnoliopsida; Poales; Poaceae. The record is from RNAcentral.